CCGGGUGUGGCGCAGUUUGGCAGCGCGUCUGUCUGGGGGACUUUUAUGUUACAGGUUCAAGUCCUGUCACUCGGA
RNAcentral lists this transfer RNA (75 nucleotides) under Cyanobacteria bacterium UBA8803. RNAcentral describes it as "tRNA-Pro". It matches the Rfam family "tRNA". Rfam says of the family: Transfer RNA (tRNA) molecules are approximately 80 nucleotides in length. Their secondary structure includes four short double-helical elements and three loops (D, anti-codon, and T loops). Lineage: Bacteria; Bacillati; Cyanobacteriota. RNAcentral also lists the same sequence under 1 other name. The record is from RNAcentral.